Small nuclear RNA from Callithrix jacchus (white-tufted-ear marmoset), 116 nucleotides. Its record names the gene U5. It matches the Rfam family "U5 spliceosomal RNA". Rfam says of the family: U5 RNA is a component of both types of known spliceosome. The precise function of this molecule is unknown, though it is known that the 5' loop is required for splice site selection and p220 binding, and that both the 3' stem-loop and the Sm site are important for Sm protein binding and cap methylation. Lineage: Eukaryota; Metazoa; Chordata; Mammalia; Primates; Cebidae. The record is from Ensembl.
AUACUCUGGUUUCUCUUCAAAUCAUAUAAAUCUUUCACCUUUUACUAAAGAUUUCCAUGGAGGGGAACAAUACUGAAUCUUAAUCCAAUUUUUUGAAGCCCAGCUUUUGCAGAGCU